CACUGACAUUAGAUACCCGCGUAGUCCAGGGUGUAAACGCUGCAGACUUGGUGUUGGAGGCCCUUUGGGGGCAUUCAGUGCCGGAGAGAAGUUGUUAAGUCUGCUACUUGGGGAGUACGUCCGCAAGGAUGAAACUUAAAGGAAUUGGCGGGGGAGCACCGCAACGGGAGGAGCGUGCGGUUUAAUUGGAUUCAACACCGUAAACUCACCAGGGAAGACUGUUACAUGAAGGCCGAGAUGAAGACUCUGCUAGAUUUUCAG
Molecule: ribosomal RNA, 261 nt
Filed under: uncultured archaeon
Lineage: Archaea
Description: partial 16S ribosomal RNA
Rfam family: Archaeal small subunit ribosomal RNA
Source: RNAcentral